Pelobates cultripes (western spadefoot toad) is the source of this 302-nucleotide non-coding RNA. NCBI's taxonomy places the organism in Eukaryota, Metazoa, Chordata, Amphibia, Anura, Pelobatidae. The record is from the annotation of a GenBank genome assembly.
AAUACAUAAACUGCAAGAGUUAUAGGUAAAAUCACUCUGACCUGUGUCCUGGCUGGAAGCAGCAAAGAAAGAGGGAAUGGGAAGCCUGUCAGGGACUUAUAUACAAGAGGUGCUGGACUCUGAUUGGUUAAACCUUUUUCUUUUCUGAUUGAUUGACUUGUGCUGCUGGAGGCAUAAAGUAAAGAAAGUUUAUGCAAAAUAGGAAGCCUCCUGUCAUGUAAUAAAAUUAACUACCAGCAGGUGUAAUCAGAUGGGUUUAAUUCAUACUUUUACAUUGCCACAAUGUUUGAAUAAUCCAAAAG